Molecule: ribosomal RNA, 477 nt
Filed under: uncultured bacterium
Lineage: Bacteria
Description: bacterial SSU rRNA
Rfam family: Bacterial small subunit ribosomal RNA
Source: RNAcentral
GCAGAGCACUCCUACGGGAGGCAGCAGUGGGGAAUAUUGGACAAUGGGGGAAACCCUGAUCCAGCCAUGCCGCGUGUGUGAAGAAGGCCUUCGGGUUGUAAAGCACUUUCAGUCGGGGAGAAAGGUUGUUGGUUAAUACCUAACAGCUGUGACGUUACCCACAGAAGAAGCACCCGGCUAACUCCGUGCCAGCAGCCGCGGUAAUACGGAGGGUGCAAGCGUUAAUCGGAAUUACUGGGCGUAAAGCGUGCGCAGGCGGUCUGUUAAGCGAGAUGUGAAAGCCCCCGGGGCUCAACCUGGGAACUGCAUUUCGAACUGGCAGACUAGAGUCUUGUAGAGGGGGUAGAAUUCCAGGUGUAGCGGUGAAAUGCGUAGAGAUCUGGAGGAAUACCGGUGGCGAAGGCGGCCCCCCUGGACAAAGACUGACGCUCAGGCACGAAAGCGUGGGGAGCAAACAGGAUUAGAUACCCUCGGUAG